This 311-nucleotide unclassified non-coding RNA is filed under the name Hevea brasiliensis (rubber tree). The record is from RNAcentral. Lineage: Eukaryota; Viridiplantae; Streptophyta; Magnoliopsida; Malpighiales; Euphorbiaceae.
AGGGUCUCAUGUGCUAUCAUUGUUUCCAGGAUUGCAAGAGAAAGGUGCGCUAUAUUUGCAAGCUGUUGCAACUGCAAAUGGUUAUUCAAAGGAUCAUGUAGAAGUUCAGAAGAUGAGUGAACUGUUGACCUCUCAAAGUAGUCAGGAGAAGAUUGACUUGUUAGUUGGGGAACCUUUUUAUUAUGGUAACAACAGUGUGCUUCCAUGGCAAAAUCUACGGUUCUGGAAGGACCGAAGUUUAUUGGAUUCAAUCCUAUCAGAAGGUGCAGUGAUUAUGCCUUGCAAAGGAUUGUUAAAGGCUUGUGCGAUGU